CACGAAUGAAGCUUUCUAGACAUCAUUCAGGGAACUACAGAGUAAUCCUACCAAACUUUCAACGGAUUCCAUAGUCUGAUGUGAUGUAUCUCAGAGAAUGUUAUAUAGGUUCUUCUCAAUCACUUAAAUUUUCAUUCACAUACAUACAUGUGUGCAUUCGGACCUAUUGCUUUCUUAAUUCUUUACUGGAGGGUUAGAUCCUGCCAUUUACUAGCAACCGAGUCUCUGACACCAUGAAACAAGUUCCUUUUUCAAAACUAAUUUGGAUGCCAGAAAAUUGGAAGAAUUACGUGUGUUCUUUCAAUUACGAAGAAAUAAGUAUAUAAGGUAUCGCUUCAUCACUUAACCAUUCAUGAAGGACGUUGUGUUGUACAUUAUUGUUUCCUCAUAAUUGUUCAUCUAUUCUUUUGAUUAAUCUAACAUAAUGUAUAUGCUUAUUUCUCAUA
Molecule: long non-coding RNA, 446 nt
Organism: Brassica oleracea var. oleracea
Lineage: Eukaryota; Viridiplantae; Streptophyta; Magnoliopsida; Brassicales; Brassicaceae
Exons: 4
Source: RefSeq, a predicted model, not a curated record